Molecule: transfer RNA, 73 nt
Organism: Auxenochlorella protothecoides
Lineage: Eukaryota; Viridiplantae; Chlorophyta; Trebouxiophyceae; Chlorellales; Chlorellaceae
Rfam family: tRNA
About the family: Transfer RNA (tRNA) molecules are approximately 80 nucleotides in length.
Source: Rfam
AGGCUUUUAGCUCAGUUGGUAGAGCGGCUGCCUUACAAGCAGCGGGUCAUCGGUUCAAAUCCGGUAGGGCCUA